UAAGUACCCCGAGGAAAAGAAAUCAACCGAGAUUCCCCCAGUAGCGGCGAGCGAACGGGGAGCAGCCCAGAGCCUGAAUCAGUGUGUGUGUUAGUGGAAGCGUCUGGAAAGGCGCGCGAUACAGGGUGACAGCCCCGUACACAAAAAUGCACAUACUGUGAGCUCGAUGAGUAGGGCGGGACACGUGGUAUCCUGUCUGAAUAUGGGGGGACCAUCCUCCAAGGCUAAAUACUCCUGACUGACCGAUAGUGAACCAGUACCGUGAGGGAAAGGCGAAAAGAACCCCGGCGAGGGGAGUGAAAAAGAACCUGAAACCGUGUACGUACAAGCAGUGGGAGCACGCUUAGGCGUGUGACUGCGUACCUUUUGUAUAAUGGGUCAGCGACUUAUAUUCUGUAGCAAGGUUAACCGAAUAGGGGAGCCGAAGGGAAACCGAGUCUUAACUGGGCGUUAAGUUGCAGGGUAUAGACCCGAAACCCGGUGAUCUAGCCAUGGGCAGGUUGAAGGUUGGGUAACACUAACUGGAGGACCGAACCGACUAAUGUUGAAAAAUUAGCGGAUGACUUGUGGCUGGGGGUGAAAGGCCAAUCAAACCGGGAGAUAGCUGGUUCUCCCCGAAAGCUAUUUAGGUAGCGCCUCGUGAAUUCAUCUCCGGGGGUAGAGCACUGUUUCGGCAAGGGGGUCAUCCCGACUUACCAACCCGAUGCAAACUGCGAAUACCGGAGAAUGUUAUCACGGGAGACACACGGCGGGUGCUAACGUCCGUCGUGAAGAGGGAAACAACCCAGACCGCCAGCUAAGGUCCCAAAGUCAUGGUUAAGUGGGAAACGAUGUGGGAAGGCCCAGACAGCCAGGAUGUUGGCUUAGAAGCAGCCAUCAUUUAAAGAAAGCGUAAUAGCUCACUGGUCGAGUCGGCCUGCGCGGAAGAUGUAACGGGGCUAAACCAUGCACCGAAGCUGCGGCAGCGACGCUUAUGCGUUGUUGGGUAGGGGAGCGUUCUGUAAGCCUGUGAAGGUGUACUGUGAGGUAUGCUGGAGGUAUCAGAAGUGCGAAUGCUGACAUAAGUAACGAUAAAGCGGGUGAAAAGCCCGCUCGCCGGAAGACCAAGGGUUCCUGUCCAACGUUAAUCGGGGCAGGGUGAGUCGACCCCUAAGGCGAGGCCGAAAGGCGUAGUCGAUGGGAAACAGGUUAAUAUUCCUGUACUUGGUGUUACUGCGAAGGGGGGACGGAGAAGGCUAUGUUGGCCGGGCGACGGUUGUCCCGGUUUAAGCGUGUAGGCUGGUUUUCCAGGCAAAUCCGGAAAAUCAAGGCUGAGGCGUGAUGACGAGGCACUACGGUGCUGAAGCAACAAAUGCCCUGCUUCCAGGAAAAGCCUCUAAGCAUCAGGUAACAUCAAAUCGUACCCCAAACCGACACAGGUGGUCAGGUAGAGAAUACCAAGGCGCUUGAGAGAACUCGGGUGAAGGAACUAGGCAAAAUGGUGCCGUAACUUCGGGAGAAGGCACGCUGAUAUGUAGGUGAAGUCCCUCGCGGAUGGAGCUGAAAUCAGUCGAAGAUACCAGCUGGCUGCAACUGUUUAUUAAAAACACAGCACUGUGCAAACACGAAAGUGGACGUAUACGGUGUGACGCCUGCCCGGUGCCGGAAGGUUAAUUGAUGGGGUCAGCGCAAGCGAAGCUCUUGAUCGAAGCCCCGGUAAACGGCGGCCGUAACUAUAACGGUCCUAAGGUAGCGAAAUUCCUUGUCGGGUAAGUUCCGACCUGCACGAAUGGCGUAAUGAUGGCCAGGCUGUCUCCACCCGAGACUCAGUGAAAUUGAACUCGCUGUGAAGAUGCAGUGUACCCGCGGCAAGACGGAAAGACCCCGUGAACCUUUACUAUAGCUUGACACUGAACAUUGAGCCUUGAUGUGUAGGAUAGGUGGGAGGCUUUGAAGUGUGGACGCCAGUCUGCAUGGAGCCGACCUUGAAAUACCACCCUUUAAUGUUU
Molecule: ribosomal RNA, 1988 nt
Filed under: Escherichia coli
Lineage: Bacteria; Pseudomonadati; Pseudomonadota; Gammaproteobacteria; Enterobacterales; Enterobacteriaceae
Description: partial 23S ribosomal RNA
Rfam family: Bacterial large subunit ribosomal RNA
Source: RNAcentral